CCACCACCACGACAGUUAGGUUGUGGAGGCCAACUGCGGCGACGUGAGGGAAACCGGUGCAAUCCCGGUGCGGUCGCGCCACUGUGAACUGCCAUCAACGGCAGUAAGCCAGGACGCUCACCCGUCCGCAGCUCGAUGA
RNAcentral lists this non-coding RNA (139 nucleotides) under Actinoplanes sp. The record is from RNAcentral. Lineage: Bacteria; Bacillati; Actinomycetota; Actinomycetes; Micromonosporales; Micromonosporaceae.